RNAcentral lists this ribosomal RNA (481 nucleotides) under uncultured Chromatiales bacterium. RNAcentral's name for it is "bacterial SSU rRNA". It matches the Rfam family "Bacterial small subunit ribosomal RNA", at positions 30 to 505 of the family's 1533-position model. Lineage: Bacteria; Pseudomonadati; Pseudomonadota; Gammaproteobacteria; Chromatiales. The record is from RNAcentral.
AUUGAACGCUGGCGGUAUGCUUAACACAUGCAAGUCGAACGCGAAAAUACCUUCGGGUAUGAGUAGAGUGGCGGACGGGUGAGUAACGCGUAGGAAUCUGCCUAGUAGUGGGGGACAACUACCGGAAACGGUAGCUAAUACCGCAUACGCCCUACGGGGGAAAGCGGGGGAUCUUCGGACCUCGCGCUAUUAGAUGAGCCUGCGUCGGAUUAGCUAGUUGGUGGGGUAAUGGCCUACCAAGGCGACGAUCCGUAGCUGGUCUGAGAGGAUGAUCAGCCACAUUGGGACUGAGACACGGCCCAAACUCCUACGGGAGGCAGCAGUGGGGAAUAUUGGACAAUGGGGGAAACCCUGAUCCAGCAAUACCGCGUGUGUGAAGAAGGCCUGCGGGUUGUAAAGCACUUUCAGUAGGAAGGAAAAGCCUGAGGUUAAUAACCUUGGGUCUUGACGUAACCUACAGAAGAAGCACCGGCUAACUCCG